RNAcentral lists this ribosomal RNA (400 nucleotides) under Hepatozoon sp. Its description in RNAcentral is "partial small subunit ribosomal RNA". It matches the Rfam family "Eukaryotic small subunit ribosomal RNA", at positions 517 to 912 of the family's 1831-position model. The record is from RNAcentral. Lineage: Eukaryota; Apicomplexa; Hepatozoidae.
AUAGAAAUUUAAAUACUUUUUAAAGUAUCAAUUGGAGGGCAAGUCUGGUGCCAGCAGCCGCGGUAAUUCCAGCUCCAAUAGCGUAUAUUAAAAUUGUUGCAGUUAAAAAGCUCGUAGUUGAAUUUUUGCUAAAAAUAACCGGUCUGCUUUUAUUAAUAAAGGUGGCAUCUUGGUGUGUUUUUAGCAAUAAUGUCCUUUGAAAUGUUUUUUACUUUAUUGUAAAAGACAAUUUUCAGGAUUUUUACUUUGAGAAAAUUAGAGUGUUUCAAGCAGGCUAACGUUUUGAAUACUGCAGCAUGGAAUAAUAAAAUAGGAUUUUAGUUCUACGUUAAUGGUUUUAAGAGCUAAAUUAAUGAUUGAUAGGAGCAGUUGGGGGCAUUUGUAUUUAACUGUCAGAGGU